RNAcentral lists this transfer RNA (79 nucleotides) under Nocardia rhizosphaerihabitans. Its description in RNAcentral is "tRNA-Ala". The record is from RNAcentral. Lineage: Bacteria; Bacillati; Actinomycetota; Actinomycetes; Mycobacteriales; Nocardiaceae.
CGGGAAUCGACGGCGCGGUGGUCGGUGUGCUGGCGGCGCAUCGAGAUCCGGCCGAACCGUUCGGGUCGGAUGAUCUCGC